GAUGAACGCUGGCGGCGUGCCUAACACAUGCAAGUCGAGCGUGAACCCUGCGAAUGAAACUUCGGUCGAUUUUGCAGGGGGAAAGCGGCGGACGGGUGAGUAACGCGUAGGUAACCUGCCCCAUACUGAGGGAUAGCCUCGGGAAACCGGGAUUAAUACCUCAUAACACCGUAUAUUCGCAUGGAUGUGCGGUCAAAGAUUUAUCGGUAUGGGAUGGGCCUGCGUCUGAUUAGCUGGUUGGUGGGUAACGGCCUACCAAGGCGACGAUCAGUAGCCGACCUGAGAGGGUGAUCGGCCACAUUGGAACUGAGACACGGUCCAAACUCCUACGGGAGGCAGCAGUGGGGAAUAUUGCACAAUGGGCGAAAGCCUGAUGCAGCAACGCCGCGUGAGCGAAGAAGGCCUUUGGGUCGUAAAGCUUUGUCGGGUAGGAAGAUAAUGACGGUACUACCCGAGGAAGCCCCGGCUAACUACGUG
This 477-nucleotide ribosomal RNA is filed under the name uncultured bacterium. Its description in RNAcentral is "bacterial SSU rRNA". It matches the Rfam family "Bacterial small subunit ribosomal RNA", at positions 28 to 507 of the family's 1533-position model. The record is from RNAcentral.